GCCCAGGUGGCGAAAUUGGUAGACGCGCUAGGUUCAGGUCCUACGCUAGGUUCAGGUCCUAGUGGUGGCAACACCGUGGAGGUUCGAUUCCUCUCUUGGGCA
Molecule: transfer RNA, 102 nt
Filed under: Candidatus Accumulibacter sp. BA-94
Lineage: Bacteria; Pseudomonadati; Pseudomonadota; Betaproteobacteria
Rfam family: tRNA
About the family: Transfer RNA (tRNA) molecules are approximately 80 nucleotides in length. Their secondary structure includes four short double-helical elements and three loops (D, anti-codon, and T loops). Further hydrogen bonds mediate the characteristic L-shaped molecular structure. tRNAs have two regions of fundamental functional importance: the anti-codon, which is responsible for specific mRNA codon recognition, and the 3' end, to which the tRNAs corresponding amino acid is attached (by aminoacyl-tRNA synthetases). tRNAs cope with the degeneracy of the genetic code in two manners: having more than one tRNA (with a specific anti-codon) for a particular amino acid; and 'wobble' base-pairing, i.e. permitting non-standard base-pairing at the 3rd anti-codon position.
Source: Rfam by way of RNAcentral